This 468-nucleotide ribosomal RNA is filed under the name uncultured bacterium. RNAcentral's name for it is "partial 16S ribosomal RNA". It matches the Rfam family "Bacterial small subunit ribosomal RNA", at positions 28 to 507 of the family's 1533-position model. The record is from RNAcentral.
GACGAACGCUGGCGGCGUGCUUAACACAUGCAAGUCGAACGGAAAGGCCCUGCUUUUGUGGGGUGCUCGAGUGGCGAACGGGUGAGUAACACGUGAGUAACCUGCCCUUGACUUUGGGAUAACUUCAGGAAACUGGGGCUAAUACCGGAUAUGAGCUCCUGCUGCAUGUUGGGGGUUGGAAAGUUUCGGCGGUUGGGGAUGUACUCGCGGCUUAUCAGCUUGUUGGUGGGGUAGUGGCUUACCAAGGCUUUGACGGGUAGCCGGCCUGAGAGGGUGACCGGCCACAUUGGGACUGAGAUACGGCCCAGACUCGUACGGGAGGCAGCAGUGGGGAAUAUUGCACAAUGGGCGGAAGCCUGAUGCAGCAACGCCGCGUGCGGGAUGACGGCCUUCGGGUUGUAAACCGCUUUCGCCUGUGACGAAGAGUGAGUGACGGUAAUGGGUAAAGAAGCACCGGCUAACUACGUG